RNAcentral lists this unclassified non-coding RNA (107 nucleotides) under Schmidtea mediterranea. Its description in RNAcentral is "trans-spliced leader sequence 1". The record is from RNAcentral. Lineage: Eukaryota; Metazoa; Platyhelminthes; Tricladida; Dugesiidae.
GCCGUUAGACGGUCUUAUCGAAAUCUAUAUAAAUCUUAUAUGGUACGGACCGUUAUCCAACAUUAGUUGGUUAAUUUUUGACAGUCACUUGAAUCACAAGUGACUAU